Molecule: ribosomal RNA, 445 nt
Filed under: uncultured Microbacteriaceae bacterium
Lineage: Bacteria; Bacillati; Actinomycetota; Actinomycetes; Micrococcales; Microbacteriaceae
Description: partial 16S ribosomal RNA
Source: RNAcentral
GACUACUGGGGUAUCUAAGCCUGUUUGCUCCCCACGCUUUCGCUCCUCAGCGUCAGUUACGGCCCAGAGAUCUGCCUUCGCCAUCGGUGUUCCUCCUGAUAUCUGCGCAUUCCACCGCUACACCAGGAAUUCCAAUCUCCCCUACCGCACUCUAGUCUGCCCGUACCCACUGCAGGCCCGAGGUUGAGCCUCGGGGUUUCACAGCAGACGCGACAAACCGCCUACGAGCUCUUUACGCCCAAUAAUUCCGGAUAACGCUUGCACCCUACGUAUUACCGCGGCUGCUGGCACGUAGUUAGCCGGUGCUUUUUCUGCAGGUACCGUCACUUUCGCUUCUUCCCUGCUAAAAGAGGUUUACAACCCGAAGGCCGUCGUCCCUCACGCGGCGUUGCUGCAUCAGGCUUGCGCCCAUUGUGCAAUAUUCCCCACUGCAGCCUCCCGUAGG